CCUACGGGAGGCAGCAGUGAGGAAUAUUGGUCAAUGGACGAGAGUCUGAACCAGCCAAGUAGCGUGAAGGAUGACUGCCCUAUGGGUUGUAAACUUCUUUUAUAAAGGAAUAAAACGAGGCACGUGUGCCUUUUUGCAUGUACUUUAUGAAUAAGGAUCGGCUAACUCCGUUCCAGCAGCCGCGGUAAGACGGAGGAUCCGAGCGUUAUCCGGAUUUAUUUGGUUUAAAGGGAGCGUAGAUGGGUUGUUAAGUCAGUUGUGAAAGUUUGCGGCUCAACCGUAAAAUUGCAAUUGAUACUGGCAGUCUUGAGUACAGUUGAGGUAGGCGGAAUUCGUGGUGUAGCGGUGAAAUGCUUAGAUAUCACGAAGAACCCCGAUUGCGAAGGCAGCUUACUAAACUGUGACUGACAUUGAUGCUCGAAAGUGUGGGUAUCAAACAGGAUUAGAUACCCUAGUAGUC
RNAcentral lists this ribosomal RNA (460 nucleotides) under uncultured bacterium. RNAcentral's name for it is "partial 16S ribosomal RNA". It matches the Rfam family "Bacterial small subunit ribosomal RNA", at positions 338 to 795 of the family's 1533-position model. The record is from RNAcentral.